RNAcentral lists this ribosomal RNA (731 nucleotides) under uncultured Campylobacter sp. RNAcentral describes it as "bacterial SSU rRNA". It matches the Rfam family "Bacterial small subunit ribosomal RNA", at positions 28 to 776 of the family's 1533-position model. Lineage: Bacteria; Pseudomonadati; Campylobacterota; Epsilonproteobacteria; Campylobacterales; Campylobacteraceae. The record is from RNAcentral.
AGUGAACGCUGGCGGCGUGCCUAAUACAUGCAAGUCGAACGGAGAUUAAGUAGCUUGCUAUUUAAUCUUAGUGGCGCACGGGUGAGUAAUAUAUAGCUAACUUGCCCAUUACUAAGGGACAACAGUUGGAAACGACUGCUAAUACCUUAUACUCCGUAUCUAUAUAAGUAGAUACGGGAAAGUUUUUCGGUAAUGGAUAGGGCUAUAUCGUAUCAGCUAGUUGGUAAGGUAAUGGCUUACCAAGGCUAUGACGCGUAACUGGUCUGAGAGGAUGAUCAGUCACACUGGAACUGAGACACGGUCCAGACUCCUACGGGAGGCAGCAGUAGGGAAUAUUGCUCAAUGGGGGAAACCCUGAAGCAGCAACGCCGCGUGGAGGAUGACACUUUUCGGAGCGUAAACUCCUUUUCUUGGGAAAGAAUUAUGACGGUACCCAAGGAAUAAGCACCGGCUAACUCCGUGCCAGCAGCCGCGGUAAUACGGAGGGUGCAAGCGUUACUCGGAAUCACUGGGCGUAAAGGACGCGUAGGCGGAUUAUCAAGUCUCUUGUGAAAUCUAACGGCUUAACCGUUAAACUGCUUGGGAAACUGAUAAUCUAGAGUAAGGGAGAGGCAGAUGGAAUUCUUGGUGUAGGGGUAAAAUCCGUAGAGAUCAAGAAGAAUACCCAUUGCGAAAGCGAUCUGCUGGAACUUAACUGACGCUAAUGCGUGAAAGCGUGGGGAGCAAACAGG